GAUCAUGGCUCAGGACGAACGCUGGCGGCGUGCUUAACACAUGCAAGUCGAACGGGAGUAUUGAAGAAGCUUGCUUUAGAGAUACUUUAGUGGCGGACGGGUGAGUAACGCGUGAGGAGCUGUCCUAUGCAGGGGGACAACAGCUGGAAACGGCUGCUAAUACCCCAUAAGCCGAGAGGUAAAAGGAUCAAUCCGGCAGAGGAGGUACUCGCGUCCUAUCAGCUAGUAGGUGAGGUAACGGCUCACCUAGGCGAAGACGGGUAGCCGGCCUGAGAGGGCGAACGGCCACACUGGAACUGAGAUACGGUCCAGACUCCUACGGGAGGCAGCAGUGGGGAAUAUUGGGCAAUGGGGGGAAAAACCCCCUGACCCAGCGACGCCGCGUGGGUGAAGAAAUCCUUCGGGAUGUAAAGCCCUGUUGUAUGGGAAGAGCGGAAGACGGUACCAUACGAGGAAGCCCCGGCAAACUACGUGCCAGCCGCAGC
Molecule: ribosomal RNA, 485 nt
Filed under: uncultured bacterium
Lineage: Bacteria
Description: bacterial SSU rRNA
Rfam family: Bacterial small subunit ribosomal RNA
Source: RNAcentral